AGUGAACGCUGGCGGUAGGCCUAACACAUGCAAGUCGAACGGCAGCACAGUAAGAGCUUGCUCUUACGGGUGGCGAGUGGCGGACGGGUGAGGAAUACAUCGGAAUCUACUUUUUCGUGGGGGAUAACGUAGGGAAACUUACGCUAAUACCGCAUACGACCUACGGGUGAAAGCAGGGGAUCUUCGGACCUUGCGCGAUUGAAUGGGCCGAUGUCGGAUUAGCUAGUUGGCGGGGUAAAGGCCCACCAAGGCGACGAUCCGUAGCUGGUCUGAGAGGAUGAUCAGCCACACUGGAACUGAGACACGGUCCAGACUCCUACGGGAGGCAGCAGUGGGGAAUAUUGGACAAUGGGCGCAAGCCUGAUCCAGCCAUACCGCGUGGGUGAAGAAGGCCUUCGGGUUGUAAAGCCCUUUUGUUGGGAAAGAAAAGCAGCAGGUUAAUACCCCGCUGUUCUGACGGUACCAAAGAAUAAGCACCGGCUAACUUCGUG
This 491-nucleotide ribosomal RNA is filed under the name uncultured bacterium. RNAcentral describes it as "partial 16S ribosomal RNA". It matches the Rfam family "Bacterial small subunit ribosomal RNA", at positions 29 to 507 of the family's 1533-position model. The record is from RNAcentral.